UACACACACUUUGUUUUUCCAGUAUAAAGGAGGCUGCUGAGGAACGGCCCAGAAGACUUCCCUGACUGAAAGAAGAUUAAGACACAAGCUGGUGGUGAUCCAGAGCAGCUGGUCUCAGAAAAUGAAGAAAAAGCCUGAUCACUUUUUCUACAAAACCCAGCUCUGACUCACUGUGGGGACACUGAGGAAGCAAAUGCGUGUGCUGCUCACCUGUGCAUGGUGUAGUGCCAUAUGAAAAAGAGCAUGUCAAAAAGCAGUAAGCACGCCACUACUUCCAUGCAGAGCUGCCAGCAGGUUGGGGCGUCUGCUGGUAACUUGGGGCUCAGCAGGGUGUUGAAGAGCGCUGUGGCGGGAAGGACGACGGUCGUGUAUUUAUACAAAACCUUCCAAAAACAUUCCGACCAUCGCCGCAGAGACGGCGGCGGACCCGAGCCCGCGGAGAUCCUCCAAGACCGAACCCGCUGACUGACGCUCCCCAGCGCGUCCAGCACGAAGAAAGGCGCGCAGAGCAGCACAUGGCUCAAGAAGGCAAAACACGCGGGCAGGCAAAUUUAUAAGCGCUGAAAAUCUCUGACCCAGAUCUGGACUCCUGCCCUCCGAUCAGACAUCGUCCGGACCAGAAUGAUCGUCGGUAAACACGAGAUCCACCACCUCCACCUCUUCAUUGAGUCGCUGCUGCACCACAACCUGCAGACAAGCAGAACAGCUCCACCUCAGAAGAGCCCUCAACACUGCGGUCUCCUGUAUGGAGACAGACCAGAUAGGCCGCUCAGAGCAGAGACCUGAAGUGUGACAGCCGUCACACUGAACUGAGCGUCAUGUGCAACAUGCGCAGGAGAUGGUUAAUCAGAAGAAAAGCCAGAAGAAAAAAGGACAAAUAAGAUGUUGACAGAGAACAGCAACAUUGACUCUGUACUAUACAGCUGCCACUAGGUGCAUCGAGAUGACAGAUGUUACAACUGCAGCCUGACGGGCCAUUGGUGAAAUGAAUAUCCACAACUGGUGAAGGGAACGCGGACUAACCAGACUGUAUCACACUGAUCGGAGAGGAGGACUUCAGACAAGUCAGAUGAGGGCGACUUGCUUGAUCAACAUAGAAGGGAAGUGAGAUAUCACACACACACACACACACACACACACACACACACACACACACACACACACACACAGCACUAGCACAAACACCUAAACCACAAACCAAGAAGCAAAUGAUGGCCUUUUUAGGCCUGUGUACAUUGUUUGGCUGACCUUUUAGACUCCCGGUGUACACAGAAGAACAACAAGCAGAGGAAGAGACAGACUUGAGUGAUUGGAUGAGAAAAUUGUUCCAAAGCAAAAAGGUUGUUGAUAUAAAUAAACUGCCGGAAGGCUCUUCUGCUUCUCAACAGGAACAUCCGGUGGCGGUGGGAGACUGGGUCCUGGUCAGAGUGAUCAAGAAGUAGUGCUGGAACCAACCCCGUUGGGACGGACCCUACAAAGUACUACUGACCACACCAACUGCGGUCAAAAUAGCAGAGAGAUCCACGUGGAUACACCUCAGCCAUUGCAAAAGGAUUGAGCCAACAAACGCUGAGUAGGGGACGGAAGUCGGGGUACAA
Archocentrus centrarchus (flier cichlid) is the source of this 1598-nucleotide long non-coding RNA. RefSeq lists it as uncharacterized. The transcript has 3 exons. Lineage: Eukaryota; Metazoa; Chordata; Actinopteri; Cichliformes; Cichlidae. The record is from RefSeq and is a predicted model, not a curated record.